GACGUAGGAGGCGAGCGUUGUCCGGAGUUAUUGGGCGUAAAGGGCGCGCAGGCGGCCACGCACGUCCGUUGUGAAAUCGCUCGGCUCAACUGGGCGGGGUCAGCGGAUACGGCGUGGCUGGAGCAAGCUAGGGGGCAAUGGAAUUCCCGGUGUAGUGGUGGAAUGCGUAGAUAUCGGGAGGAACACCAGUGGCGAAGGCGGGUCUCUGGACAGUUCCUGACGCUGAGGCACGAAGGUCAGGGGAGCAAACGGG
Molecule: ribosomal RNA, 253 nt
Filed under: uncultured bacterium
Lineage: Bacteria
Description: partial 16S ribosomal RNA
Rfam family: Bacterial small subunit ribosomal RNA
Source: RNAcentral